AUACGAAGGGGGCUAGCGUUGUUCGGAUUUACUGGGCGUAAAGCGCACGUAGGCGGAUUGGUCAGUUAGGGGUGAAAUCCCAGGGCUUAACCCUGGAACUGCCUUUAAUACUGCCAGUCUUGAGUAUGGAAGAGGUGAGUGGAAUUGCGAGUGUAGAGGUGAAAUUCGUAGAUAUUCGCAGGAACACCAGUGGCGAAGGCGGCUCACUGGUCCAUUACUGACGCUGAGGUGCGAAAGCGUGGGGAGC
RNAcentral lists this ribosomal RNA (247 nucleotides) under uncultured bacterium. Its description in RNAcentral is "partial 16S ribosomal RNA". It matches the Rfam family "Bacterial small subunit ribosomal RNA", at positions 523 to 769 of the family's 1533-position model. The record is from RNAcentral.